RNAcentral lists this ribosomal RNA (252 nucleotides) under uncultured bacterium. Its description in RNAcentral is "partial 16S ribosomal RNA". It matches the Rfam family "Bacterial small subunit ribosomal RNA", at positions 524 to 776 of the family's 1533-position model. The record is from RNAcentral.
UACGGAGGAUGCGAGCGUUAUCCGGAUUUAUUGGGUUUAAAGGGUGCGUAGGCGGAUCGUUAAGUCAGUGGUCAAAUUGAGGGGCUCAACCCCUUCCCGCCAUUGAAACUGGCGAUCUUGAGUGGAAGAGAAGUAUGCGGAAUGCGUGGUGUAGCGGUGAAAUGCAUAGAUAUCACGCAGAACCCCGAUUGCGAAGGCAGCAUGCCGGCUUCCUACUGACGCUGAAGCUCGAAAGCGUGGGGAUCGAACAGG